This 1226-nucleotide long non-coding RNA is filed under the name Homo sapiens (human). RNAcentral's name for it is "HSALNT0368484". The record is from RNAcentral. Lineage: Eukaryota; Metazoa; Chordata; Mammalia; Primates; Hominidae.
UCUUCCUUACUGUGUGCACACGAUUGCACUGGGAGUUGUCAAUAUAACAAGUGGAUAAAACAGCCUCUCCUCUCAAGAAGCUUAUAAACCAGUAGAGGAAAAAUAGCAGCUUCACUAUAUGUGGAAAUAGCGGCUUCACUCUUAGAGUCAAUUGUCAUAAUUCCCUAAACUAGAAAAGAAGAAGGCAAUGAUUCUUACAGGGGUAAUCUGUAAAGGCUUUAUCAGGAAAGAUUUUUGCUAGGCCCCGAAGGAUCGACACUGUUUCAGUAAGUGAAGAUAGAGGAGAGAGCACUCCAGGGAAAGGUGUUGCCAGGAGCAAAGGGCAGAUUGUGAUGAAGGGAACCACUUUGGUGACUGAUGGGGCUUAAGAUCUCUCUGCAAGGCUACUUUCAAGUGAAUUUACAAACCAAGGGUGCAAAAUACAGCAGGAAUCCAGAACAUAAAAGGGAAAAAAUGAGCUAUAGGAAGAAAGAAAGGCACUUUGGCUUCAGGAGAUGUACAGCAAUAGAAAUGAGUCAACAGGAGUGAUCAUCAUCCAAGAGAUCAUCAUCUCUUCCUCAUCCUCCCCCUUUUUCUCCUUAUCCUCAUUCUCUUAUCUUCAUUAUCAUUAUGAUCACUGGCUCAUACUGAGAUGCAUGAAAAGGAGAGAAGGAAGGAAAGAAGGAAGGUGCAAGAGAGGAGAGUCUCCUGAAUUGUCCCUGGAUCUGAAUACCAUCCUAGGUGGGGGAUUUAGCCUUUUUCACCAUCCCUACCUCUAUACCUCUGGACUCUUUUUAAGAUCUGUCAAUAUUCACACACAUCAAAAUAAGUGAGAUUGGGAGGAUAGAAUAGACCAUCUUUUACUUCUAACAUAUUUAAUGGUUUCUGUAAGAGUCAAGGAGCUGCUUUCAAAUCAGCUUGUUGGUGGGUAUAAAGGAAAAGAAUCAACUGGCUUUGGCCAAAGUAAUGAAAAGGUCAACCAGUUUUCUUUCACCUUUGUUCUCUUACUAAUCAUGGGAAGGACACAGAUGGCUCCAGUUUAACUUCCUCUGUUCUCACAGGUGCCGGUCCAUUAACUUCCAAGAGAAUCCCAUGAGUAUAUAGUAUGGUUUCAAAAGAAUGGAAGCUAGAAUAACACAAAUGUGAACUCUAGUCCCAAUUCUUCUAAUUCCUGGGUUGUUGAUCCCAAACACAUUAUAUAAAGUUAUCUGUUCUUCCAUUUCCUCUAAUAAAAUAAGGCUAACAUA